UUGAGGCGCUGGAUUGGUCCCACGGUGCGGAGUCGGUAGUAGCGGCAUCCCACGGACGUUCCGAGGCUUCUACUGUGACAGGUCCUGCACGGAAGGAUGUGGUGCUUGGUGAAGUCCUUAGGGGCUCAAGCGCAAUCAUCCGGAAGUGUGUUGUGGGCUGGUUUUCAUGGUCGAAGUCAAGGUGCGGUGGUGUGGGACGCACGCAACAAUGCGAUCAGUCGGUGUAGGCUUGUCCCACGGAAAUAUGUGCGCACCUCGGGAAAUAUGUUGCCUAUGAGACCCUUUUUGCCAUAGAAUGACGUGGUGUUAGGUGAUGCCCAGGGGGCUGAGCCUGUUCGUCGGAAGUGCGUUGUGGGAGGAUUUGGCAGUCGAAUAAAUUUUGACCCUUGAUCCCUAUCGGUUUUGGCGGUUACCUUUUCUCUUCGCGCCCGACGUAGCGGAUUCGGCGACACCAUGUGUUUCCAUUUGCUUGCUUGCCAUUGGCAUUGCGGGGAGUGGUCCGUGUGGUACCUUCGAGUCUGUCUAACGGGAGGGCGCGUGAGUGGCAAUUGGGAUGUUAGUGCUGUCUGGCUCCAUGAUCAUGGUCAUCGAACUUUCAGCACACAACCCUUCCCAUGUUCGCCUUGUGUCAUUUCGGCCCCGGCGUUCGAUUCUGGUUCUUGUGUUGCCUACCCGUUAAGUGGUAUUCAUGUGCCUCUCAUGACCCGUUCCAUCCAGGCCCCUUCUUGAGGUCGUUGGAGGAUUCGAAAGUGAUGCGUGUGAAGUGUUAGCUGUGAAUUGUGAUCGCAGUCCGACUCGAAAUUUUUGAUGUGUCCGUCUCACUUGUCGAGGUUCUGGUUUGGUGACUCGGUGACGGGUUGGGUAGUGGAGGGCGUUCUGAGGCUUCUAGUGUGACUGGUCCUGCACGGAAGGAUGUGGUGCUUGGUGAAGCCUUCAGGGGCACAGCCGCAGCACGAAGGGGCACAAGUCCAAUCAUCCGGAAGUGUGUCGUGGGCUGGUUCGCACGGUUGAAGUCGAGGUGCGGUCGUAUGUGACGCUAGCAACAAGGUGACUCGGUGGCUUGUCCCUCGGAAAUCUGUUGGUUGUUGAGGUGCUGGAUUGGUCCCACGGUGCGGAGUUGGUAGUUGCGGCAUCCCACGGACGCUCCGAGGCUUCUAGUGUGACAAGUCCUGCACGGAAGGAUGUGGUGCUUGGUGAAGCCCCUAGGGGUACAGCCGCUGCACGAAGGGGCGCAAGCCCAAUCAUCCGGAAGUGUGUCAAGGGCUGGUUCGCACGGUUGAAGUCAAGGUGCGUUCGUCUGUGACGCUAGCAACAAUGUGCCUCGGUUAGGCUUGUCCCUCGGAAAUGUGUUGGUUGUUGAGGUGAUGGAUUGGUCCCACGGUGCGGAGUUGGUAGUUGCGGCAUCCCACGAACGUUCCGAGGCUUCUAGUGUGACCAGUCCUGCACGGAAGGAUGUGGUGCUUGGUGAAGCCUUCAGGGGCAUAGCCGCAGCACGAAGGGGCGCAAGUCCAAUCAUCCGGAAGUGUGUCGUGGGCUCGUGUGCGCGCUUGAAGUCGAGGUGCGUCCCUCUGUGACGCUAGCAACAAUGUCCCUCGGUUAGGCUUGUCCCUCGGAAAUGUGUUGGCUGUUGAGGCGCUGGAUUGGUCCCACGGUGCGGAGUCGGUAGUAGCGGCAUCCCACGGACGUUCCGAGGCUUCUACUGUGACAGGUCCUGCACGGAAGGAUGUGGUGCUUGGUGAAGUCCUUAGGGGCUCAAGCGCAAUCAUCCGGAAGUGUGUUGUGGGCUGGUUUUCAUGGUCGAAGUCAAGGUGCGGUGGUGUGGGACGCACGCAACAAUGCGAUCAGUCGGUGUAGGCUUGUCCCACGGAAAUAUGUGCGCACCUCGGGAAAUGUGUGCGCACCUCGGGAAAUAUGUUGCCUGUGAGACCCUUUUCGCCAUGGAAGGACGUGGUGUUAGGUGAUGCCCUGAGGGCUGAGCCUGUUCGUCGGAAGUGCGUUGUGGGAGGAUUUGGCAGUCGGAUAAAUUUUGACCCUUUGUCCCUAUCGGUUUUGGCGGUUACCUUUUCUGUUCGCGCCCGACGUAGCGGAUCCGGCGGCACCAUGUGUUUCCAUUUGCUUGCUUGCCAUUGGCAUUGCGGGGAGUGGUCCGUGUGGUANUUAGUGCUGUCUGGCUCCAUGAUCAUGGUCAUCGAACUUUCAGCACACAAC
This 2208-nucleotide long non-coding RNA is filed under the name Lupinus angustifolius (narrow-leaved blue lupine). RNAcentral describes it as "long non-coding RNA (LANG_LNC002776)". The record is from RNAcentral. Lineage: Eukaryota; Viridiplantae; Streptophyta; Magnoliopsida; Fabales; Fabaceae.